CAUUCCAUACCAGUUUCAGAAUCGCUGUCUGCCUGGAGCAGAGAAGACCACUGUGGACUUGUCACUUCUUCGUCCAUCAGUGUAUGUCUCAACUUUGGCUCAGGCUCUCACCUCAGCUUCUAUUGCUCCCACACGUGAGAUGAAGAAGAUGAAACAUUUUUGUGCCUAGCUAUUGACAGGCUGGAAGAUGGCCUUCAUAUGACAUAAAACCAACCAUAGAAGAAGAAUAAAGGAUCCAUUUAUUGGAGAUGUCAAGUGAAAAUAUGUUUGGCAACCUGACCUCAG
Long non-coding RNA from Neogale vison (American mink), 285 nucleotides. RefSeq lists it as uncharacterized. NCBI's taxonomy places the organism in Eukaryota, Metazoa, Chordata, Mammalia, Carnivora, Mustelidae. The transcript has 3 exons. The record is from RefSeq and is a predicted model, not a curated record.